UGGUUGCACCAGGAUGGUGUGAGGAAGAGGGAAGAUCAUAUUUCAAAUUCAAGCUGGGAUUCAUUGUUUCAUCGUCGAUUACAGCAAGCGUUGUGUUAAAUUGGAUUCGUUAAAUUAAUUUCGCAAAACGAAAAUGUGCAUGGGUUCUACUCCACUGGACGGAGACAAAUGAGACAAGUAUCCUGGACAAUUCAAUGGUUCCAGAUAAAAUAAUGUUCGAGACCAACCGAAAGAUUGAGAUGGAGAAUUUGGAGACCCAAAGUUAACAAGAACCCUCCAAGAAAAAAUGGCUGAAUGGCGUACUACUGUAUUCAAGUGUUGCCGUUGCUAUUUAUAUAGGUUGCACUAGAUACAUUUUGUCUCAAAGGACUAUUAUGCAGCUUAAAAAAAGCCAACAUGCAAGUAGACUGGUAUGUGCUGCAAUGACAAACAAAAUAUAUACAGUAUCUGCAAUAUUUGAAUAACCAGAUAUCCAGUCAGCAGCUGUAAAAACCAAGAUGACUAAUAUAUGUGAAGAUACAAGGCGUUCCAUGUCAAAGGGAAUGGAUACAGCAGCUAAUGUUUACAACAGGCGCUUAAUGUGCAGUAAUUUUUUAAUUUUAAAUUGUAAUUGUAAUUAUCUUU
Molecule: long non-coding RNA, 624 nt
Organism: Anneissia japonica
Lineage: Eukaryota; Metazoa; Echinodermata; Crinoidea; Comatulida; Comatulidae
Exons: 3
Source: RefSeq, a predicted model, not a curated record